CUGGCGGCGUGCCUAACACAUGCAAGUCGAGCGAGGAGAUCCUUCGGGAUGAUCCUAGCGGCGGACGGGUGAGUAACACGUGGGCAACCUGCCUCAUAGAGAGGAAUAGCCUUCCGAAAGGGAGAUUAAUACCUCAUAACAUUGCAGUUUCGCAUGGAACAGCAAUUAAAGGAGUAAUCCGCUAUGAGAUGGGGCCCGCGGCGCAUUAGCUAGUUGGUGAGGUAACGGCUCACCAAGGCGACGAUGCGUAGCCGACCUGAGAGGGUGAUCGGCCACAUUGGGACUGAGACACGGCCCAGACUCCUACGGGAGGCAGCAGUGGGGAAUAUUGCACAAUGGGGGAAACCCUGAUGCAAGCAACGCCGCGUGAGUGAUGACGGCCUUCGGGUUGUAAAGCUCUGUCUUCAGGGACGAUAAUGACGGUACCUGAGGAGGAAGCCACGGCUAACUACGUGCCAGCAGCCGC
Molecule: ribosomal RNA, 466 nt
Filed under: uncultured bacterium
Lineage: Bacteria
Description: bacterial SSU rRNA
Rfam family: Bacterial small subunit ribosomal RNA
Source: RNAcentral